AGUUCCCCUAGUGACCAUCCGGGGCAAGGAGAAUUUAGUUGGCCUACAUACACUAUUCCUGAACUGAGCUACAAAGAACUUUCAUUAAGCUUGGCUGUUGGUAGAGCCAAGAGAGCUAGACAGUGCCAUCUACUCAACAGUUAUAUCCCGCAGCUUGCUCGGGUUAUAGGUGAGGUAGAUCCAAGUGUUCGAAAAUGGAAGGAUAUUUUCGAUGCGUGGCAGAGAGACAUGACAGAAUGGAGAAAGCAGUUUCAAGAUUAUAAAUCGAAAACAGACUGUUAGGAAAUUCGGAGGAGGAUCCAGAAUCUCUUCCUAGGGGGCGGAAACAAUUUCUGACAAACAAGAAUCCCCCCCCCCCCAAAAAA
This is a long non-coding RNA of Strongylocentrotus purpuratus (purple sea urchin), 365 nucleotides long. RefSeq lists it as uncharacterized. Lineage: Eukaryota; Metazoa; Echinodermata; Echinoidea; Camarodonta; Strongylocentrotidae. The transcript is spliced from 2 exons. The record is from RefSeq and is a predicted model, not a curated record.